RNAcentral lists this ribosomal RNA (491 nucleotides) under uncultured bacterium. RNAcentral describes it as "partial 16S ribosomal RNA". It matches the Rfam family "Bacterial small subunit ribosomal RNA", at positions 29 to 506 of the family's 1533-position model. The record is from RNAcentral.
AGUGAACGCUGGCGGUAGGCCUAACACAUGCAAGUCGAACGGCAGCACAGUAAGAGCUUGCUCUUACGGGUGGCGAGUGGCGGACGGGUGAGGAAUACAUCGGAAUCUACUUUUUCGUGGGGGAUAACGUAGGGAAACUUACACUAAUACCGCAUACGACCUACGGGUGAAAGCAGGGGAUCUUCGGACCUUGCGCGAUUGAAUGAGCCGAUGUCGGAUUAGCUAGUUGGCGGGGUAAAGGCCCACCAAGGCGACGAUCCGUAGCUGGUCUGAGAGGAUGAUCAGCCACACUGGAACUGAGACACGGUCCAGACUCCUACGGGAGGCAGCAGUGGGGAAUAUUGGACAAUGGGCGCAAGCCUGAUCCAGCCAUACCGCGUGGGUGAAGAAGGCCUUCGGGUUGUAAAGCCCUUUUGUUGGGAAAGAAAAGCAGCAGGUUAAUACCCCGCUGUUCUGACGGUACCCAAAGAAUAAGCACCGGCUAACUUCGU